Molecule: ribosomal RNA, 253 nt
Filed under: uncultured bacterium
Lineage: Bacteria
Description: partial 16S ribosomal RNA
Rfam family: Bacterial small subunit ribosomal RNA
Source: RNAcentral
UACAGGGGGGGCAAGCGUUGUUCGGAAUUACUGGGCGUAAAGGGUUCGUAGGUGGCCACUUAAGUCAGACGUGAAAUCCCUCAGCUUAACUGGGGAACUGCGUCUGAUACUGAGUGGCUUGAGUGCAGGAGAGGAAUGCGGAAUUCCAGGUGUAGCGGUGAAAUGCGUAGAUAUCUGGAGGAAUACCGGUGGCGAAGGCGGCAUCCUGGACCAUUACUGACGCUGAGGCGCGAAAGCUAGGGGAGCAAACGGG